RNAcentral lists this unclassified non-coding RNA (366 nucleotides) under uncultured Rubrobacterales bacterium. Its description in RNAcentral is "contains 16S-23S intergenic spacer region". The record is from RNAcentral. Lineage: Bacteria; Bacillati; Actinomycetota; Rubrobacteria; Rubrobacterales.
UCCGGUUUGUCACCGGCAGUCUGAAGUGAGUCCCCAACUUAAUGCUGGCAACACUUCACGGGGGUUGCGCUCGUUGCGGGACUUAACCCAACAUCUCACGACACAAGCUGACGACAGCCAUGCAGCAUCUGUGGUGCACCCUCGAAGGUCACACGUUUCCGUGCGCUUGCAGCACCAUGUCAAGUCCAGGUAAGGUUCUUCGCGUUGCAUCGAAUUAAAGAACAUGCUCCGCUGCUUGUGCGGGCCCCCGUCAAUUCUUUUGAGUUUUAGCCUUGCGGCCGUACUCCCCAGGCGGAACACUUAUCGCGUUGGCUGCGGCACAGACAGAUUCGACUCCGCCCACACAGCGUUUACAGCGUGGACUAC